Molecule: long non-coding RNA, 3153 nt
Filed under: Populus trichocarpa (black cottonwood)
Lineage: Eukaryota; Viridiplantae; Streptophyta; Magnoliopsida; Malpighiales; Salicaceae
Description: long non-coding RNA (PTRI_LNC002979)
Source: RNAcentral
UUCAGCAUGGAUUUAUCUAUAGAACAUGAAAGGAUACAUGAGAAUAUAAUCUAUGUAGACAAACCUAUUUCUUGAAAGUAAGAAAAUGAUAAUAUUUUUGACAGCUUUCAUACAUCAAGAUUGAAUCCAUUUUUUUAUCUGAUUAAAAAUAAUUAAUCCAUGAUAAAACUAAAAAAAAUAUAUAUGAAAAUUUUAUUUCUGACAACUAUUGAAAUCUUGAACCUUGAUAAUCACGAAGAAAGCAUACCUCAUUAAUCAUCUAAAUGUGUAAAAAGAAAAAAAGUAUUGUUAAUGAUGUGUUUAACAAAAUUCAUGGCCAUAGAAAUGAAUGCUCUCUGGUGGUGGACCAAAUCAAGGUUUUAUGAGCAUGCCCCUUCAAAGACUGAUGGUGCUAACACAUGGCAGUUGAUUUAAUAAUUGUUCAUGAUAGGUAGUCAGUAGUCUUGAACCUUGCUGAUCUACCCCUAGAUACUGGUAUCUGUAGUUUUCCAUGGUUACAACUUACAGGUGGGAGAAGCAACUAGGGUUAGUCCAAGUGAAAACAGACGUGGAUCAUACGUUUGCAUCAGUCACUUGAUAAGGGCCUUUUCUUUCAUUUAUAUCUGUUCAGGUUUGAUGUCAAAUAUACCCACCAGACCUGCAAACUUGAUUCAGUAAAAGUAUGCUAGAUUGAAAAUUACCAUAAAAUUAGUCACAUGUUACAAAAGAUCCAAGCCAGACAGCGUCCACUUUAAGACAUGCUGGACAUCAGUCAAGCAGUAAUUUCAGCAUGGUACAAGGUUAGCAAAAGGGUGUUUGCUGUAGUCUGAGGUAAGAAAAUAUACCAAGAUACUGGAUGAAGGAGGCCCAUCUGUAAAGUUGCUCAAGCAUAAACUGUCUGCCAAGUUAUUCCUAUAGUGGAUCCUAAACUGGAUGCCGGAGAUUGCUUAUAUCCUUGUUGAGGCAUCAUUUAGUUUUGUGAAUUGUCAGCAGAAUCUCAAUAGCUGGCUAUGCAAGAAACACAGGCUUGUAUUUAGGUAAGUAAAAAUUGAGAUAGGUUCCAGAUAACCAUCCAUGGAACCUUUAUGAAGCAAAAAUAAUGUCAGGAAGAAGAUACAUUUGACUUGGUUAGAAGAAAGGCUGUCGCAUCCAUAUGAUGUAGCUGAAAACAUGAUGUUGCUCGUUGAAUCCACUCCUUGAUCGCAUGAUAAAAAGGAAAUCUCAAAUCAUGGCAAGAUAUGAGUCGAACUAGUUCCGGGAUUUCUGCAAGCAAGAAAGGGUAUAAUCAGUACUUUUUACCGAAUUAACUUGUAAAUUAAAAAAAAAAUAGUGCAGGGAGAGUGCUUGCUUGCAUUCAGAUACAAAUGGGGAAAAUGAUUGAAUAUCUUCUAUUUGUUAAAUCAUAGUGAAUGGCAAAAAUGCAAAGAUCCAAAUAAACAUUAAGAAAUGAAUACAAAAGUUCAUGCACUGAUGGUUGAUUUUUGCACAAGCACAACUGGACAAUUCAUAUCACAAAUUGUCUAUCCUUGGAUUAGAAAUGCAUAUGGAGUUCAAAGCCCUACGUUUCAGACUAUACUUCGAACAUAAAAGAAAAAAACAAGAAGAUACUAGCAUUCGGUUCUCGCUAAAUCUUGGACUCCAGAAAUUGGUGACUGCCUACAACCAACAUGGUGGAAUCACAGGGUAGAAGAUGGCAAGGAGCUAGAGAUGAUAUGUAACAAUUGGAAUCUAAAACCAAGAAUUGCUGGCUUGUGGGAAAUGUUUAAGGUAACUUGUAACUACACAAGUUUUUGGUAUCUUAUGGUAUGUUGCAUUUUAAAUAAUUAGAGUUCUUUAUCUGAUUUACUUUUCUUUCCUAAAAUUUGAGGACUGCAAUUUUUUGGAGAGUUUGAUAGGAUCCCAACAUAUACAGACACUUGCAUAUGCAUACGAGCACUAUAAACACGAAUAUAUCCACAUAUAUAUCACAUGUUAGUCUUCCUAAAAUCUGAAACAGUUCAAUGAUUUCUAAGUAACCUGAUCUCAACCAAAUUAAAUGUUAAUUUCUCUGGUGGGGAGGGUUUCUUAAUCAGAUAACUAAAAAGGAAAUUCUGCUUUGUUCAUAAGGAGGCAAAACAGAAGGGAAGCCGAAGACCUAUCACACCAAAUCUGAGAAUUUCCAUAAAACUAAUCACAUGGUACAAGACAGUUACAAUGUACAAUUAAAUCACAUCAUAUAGGUGGGAAUGCAAAUGGCAUGUAGGAAAAUACGUUCAUAAAGCAAACAACUAAUUUGAAUUGAGACAGUUAAAAUCAGUUGUUAUAUUACUGUGAUAUAUUAGUCAAGCUGUAAUGUCAGUAUAGAAACCUUAAUUCUGAAGUCAGGGCAUGAGAUCACCGUGAUCCUGGAUGACAUGGGCAAUUUGAACACUUCCUCUUGCAUAAAAUGUCCUCUAAGUUAAUUACUUGUUGAGGCUGGGGCCGGGGGCACUAAUUUGGAUACCAGAGUGGCCAUGCAUACAUAAAAUUGAUUGCUCAUGAAGGCACUGUUAGUGAGCUGUCAUCAGAAUCUCAGUCGCUGGCUACACUGCAAACAUGAGCAAGAAAGUAAACAAAAACUGAGGUAGCCUUUAGCUAACCAAUCCAACGCUCCUUCAUGAAAGGAAAACCAUGCCACCAAGAACAAAGCUGCCUAUCACAUCCUUCUACAUAAAACUGAAAACUUGGCAAUGCUUGUUGAGCUCAUCUCCUCGCAAGGAGUCAACUAGCUCCAUGAAUUGUACAAGCAAGAAGGCUGUUAAAAUCACGAGAAUUUUUGGGGAAAAAACCCGGCAAUAUUAUGAAAGAAGAAGAGGAAUGCAUUGAAAUACAAUUGAGCCAAAAAAAAAAAGCAUUGUUAGACCACAUGAUUAAUUUUAAGCACAGCCAGUGGCAAAUCUGCAUAGAGACAAGAUAAACACUGGAAAUGGAUGCAAAAGCUCACAGAUUGAUGAUUAGUACCUGCCAAGCACAGCUGGGCAAUUGUUACCAAAUAUUAGCUGUCGUUAGAUUAGAAUGCUUACGGAGUUCAAAGCCAAUUUUCUGAUAGUACUUGGAAUAUAUCGGGUCCCAGAAAUUGGUGAGAGGUGACAGCCAUCCUACUGUGACCACUGUGGUGGAAUCAGAAACCAUCAUGCAAGACAAUAUAAUAGAAUU